This 551-nucleotide ribosomal RNA is filed under the name uncultured Acaulospora. RNAcentral describes it as "SSU rRNA". It matches the Rfam family "Eukaryotic small subunit ribosomal RNA", at positions 548 to 1098 of the family's 1831-position model. The record is from RNAcentral. Lineage: Eukaryota; Fungi; Glomeromycota; Glomeromycetes; Diversisporales; Acaulosporaceae.
UUGGAGGGCAAGUCUGGUGCCAGCAGCCGCGGUAAUUCCAGCUCCAAUAGCGUAUAUUAAAGUUGUUGCAGUUAAAGAGCUCGUAGUUGAAUUUCGGAGUUUGUCGGUCGGUCGGGCUUCACUGUCCGCACUGGCCUGAUGGAUUCCUACCUUCUGAAUAACCAGCAUGCUAUUAAGUUAGUGCGUUGGGGAAGCAGAGCUAUUACCUUGAAAAAAUUAGAGUGCUUAAAGCAGGCUUAUGCUUGAAUAGAUUAGCAUGGAAUAAUAAAAUAGGACGGCAUGGUUCUAUUUUGUUGGUUUCUAGGAUCACCGUAAUGAUUAAUAGGGAUAGUUGGGGGCAUUAGUAUUCAAUUGUCAGAGGUGAAAUUCUUGGAUUUAUUGAAGACUAACUUCUGCGAAAGCAUUUGCCGAGGAUGUUUUCAUUAAUCAAGAACGAAAGUUAGGGGAUCGAAGACGAUCAGAUACCGUCGUAGUCUUAACCAUAAACUACGCCGACUAGGGAUCGGACGAUGUUAAUUUUUUAAUGACUCGUUCGGCGCCUUACGGGAAAC